GAUGAAGAACGCAGCGAAAUGCGAUAAGUAGUGUGAAUUGCAGAAUUCAGUGAAUCAUCGAAUCUUUGAACGCACAUUGCGCCUUCUAGUAUUCUGGGAGGCAUGCCUGUUUGAGCGUCAUUAAACCUCUCUCAAGUAUGAUUACUUGGAUGUGAAGGAAGAGUACCUUAAACUUAAGGAGUGUUCUCCUUUGAAAUUGAUUAGCAGAUGGUAAUGUUAUUAAAUCCCUGAUGUUGUAAGAAAUAACAGUGGUUUUGUAGACUAUUAUCUAGCUUUAAAUUAUAAUUUUUAUUAUGGUUGACCUCAAAUCAGGUAAGGAUACCCGCUGAACUUAAGCAUAUCAUAAGCGGAGGA
Molecule: unclassified non-coding RNA, 354 nt
Filed under: soil metagenome
Description: partial contains 5.8S ribosomal RNA, internal transcribed spacer 2, and large subunit ribosomal RNA
Rfam family: 5.8S ribosomal RNA (bases 1-120)
Source: RNAcentral